This 563-nucleotide ribosomal RNA is filed under the name uncultured bacterium. RNAcentral's name for it is "bacterial SSU rRNA". It matches the Rfam family "Bacterial small subunit ribosomal RNA", at positions 338 to 916 of the family's 1533-position model. The record is from RNAcentral.
CCUACGGGAGGCAGCAGCAAGGAAUAUUGCGCAAUGGGCGAAAGCCUGACGCAGCGACGUCGCGUGAGGGAAGAAGGCCUUCGGGUUGUAAACCUCUUUUCUCAGGGAAGAAUAAUGACGGUACCUGAGGAAUAAGUCUCGGCUAACUACGUGCCAGCAGCCGCGGUAAUACGUAGGAGGCGAGCGUUAUCCGGAUUUACUGGGCGUAAAGCGGGCGUAGGCGGUUUUUCAAGUUGGAUGUAAAAUCUCCCUGCUCAACGGGGAGGGGUCAUUCAAUACUGUUGAGCUUGAGGACAGCAGAGGGAGGUGGAAUUCCCGGUGUAGUGGUGAAAUGCGUAGAUAUCGGGAGGAACACCAGUGGCGAAAGCGGCCUCCUGGGCUGUUACUGACGCUGAGGCCCGAAAGCGUGGGGAGCGAACAGGAUUAGAUACCCUGGUAGUCCACGUUGUAAACGAUGGGCACUAGGUAUAGGGAGUAUCGACUCUCUCUGUGCCGAAGUUAACACGUUAAGUGCCCCGCCUGGGGACUACGGCCGCAAGGCUAAAACUCAAAGGAAUUGACGG